RNAcentral lists this unclassified non-coding RNA (209 nucleotides) under rhizosphere metagenome. RNAcentral describes it as "partial ribosomal RNA internal transcribed spacer region". The record is from RNAcentral.
GAGUUCAUGCCCUCACGGGUAGAUCUCCCACCCUCUGUUUAUUACACGCUGUUGCUUUGGCGGACCGCCGCAAGUUGGCUUCGGCCGAUGCGUGGCUACCGGCUUCGGCUGGUACGCGUCCGCCAGAGGACCCAACCAACCUGAAUUAUUAGUGUCGUCUGAGUAAAAAUUUAAUAUUUAAAACUUUCAACAACGGAUCUCUUGGCUCU